This is a long non-coding RNA of Sorghum bicolor (sorghum), 861 nucleotides long. RefSeq lists it as uncharacterized. NCBI's taxonomy places the organism in Eukaryota, Viridiplantae, Streptophyta, Magnoliopsida, Poales, Poaceae. The transcript has 3 exons. The record is from RefSeq and is a predicted model, not a curated record.
AAACCUAAACCCCACCGCUGCUCUCUCCUACCACCAGCCGCCGCCCUGCACCAGACCAUCUCGGCUACCUACUGUGCCCAUCUCAGUUCCCACACCGGCCGGCAGCCUUCAUCCCUGUACCCUACCCCAUCGGAGAAAGACAAGGAUUGGCAUGGCACGCGAAGGAGGACAGCGGUGGCACCACAUCUCAGUCGUGGCUCUCACCCUAGCCAUCGGAGCUGAGGUGGGCAUGAUUCUGACAUGCGACUUCGGACAGAGGUGGCCACCAUGGACGAAUUAGCGUUGCAGCCAGCCAAUGGGAGCUUUUGUGGCUUUGAGUGAGCUAGGCCGCGGAUGAAGCGGCUGCUGGAGUCAAGGUGAGCUGAAUCAAAUUUUGUUUGUGCAUCUGUCACCCCUUGGCUCCUCUCUCUCUCACUCUCUCUCCCACUCACUCUAUCCAUCUAUGCAAGGAGGAUCCACGCAAUGGGGGCUCUGGAUCUAUUGGAUCUGUCGUGGGCAGACCAAAUCCAUCGUGGAUGUCACAGAUCCACAUUAUGAGUGGAAGAAGUAAGCAUGGCUUGAGCCGCAGCAUGGACAUGGAAACCCUGGCAAAGAAAAGGGGUGGCAAAUCAAAUGGAAUUAUAGUGCAGUUUGGAGGAUGGAUAAUCGGGCUACUCUUGCAGCACAGCAGCUGCUUCUAGCACAAGCUCUCAUGAGAACACCCCAAUAAUGUAGUGAAAGAUGAUUGGACAUAAAUGUUAUAUAUUUUGUCAACCAAUUCUUGUAGUUUGACCUAUUGGAUGAAAACUUUUAUAUGAUCUAUUGUUGGUUGAAAUGUGAGACUCUAUAUUUGAUUACUGGAUAAAAACUUGAUUUAUUGCA